RNAcentral lists this ribosomal RNA (758 nucleotides) under Meloidogyne incognita (southern root-knot nematode). RNAcentral describes it as "partial large subunit ribosomal RNA". It matches the Rfam family "Eukaryotic large subunit ribosomal RNA", at positions 344 to 964 of the family's 3401-position model. The record is from RNAcentral. Lineage: Eukaryota; Metazoa; Nematoda; Chromadorea; Rhabditida; Meloidogynidae.
ACAAGUACCGUGAGGGAAAGUUGCAAAGAACCUUUGAGAGAGAGUUAAGAGGACGUGAAACCGGUGAGGUGGAAACGGAUAGAGUCGGCGUAUCAUUCAAUUAUUCAGUUACAUUAUUUUUAUGUUGUGACCUCUGAGCUCCAGAUUGGGACAGAGGGAAUCAGCAUAAUUUUUUGUGGUGCAUUUACUUGAUUGGUGCUUGGGGAUGUUUGAGGCAGAUUUGUUUCCGUCGUUUUGAGGCCAGCUUGCUGGUACCCAAACGGUGUUAGCAUUUUUUGUCUUGGGCAUUUGAGUAUGGCUCACGUGUAUUUAUUGGACAGAUCUGAGUGUAAGUUACGGUCGCAUGCGACACGUGCUUUUCAAUUAGUUCGGUCCAGUUAAUGCUCUCGUACUCGUUCCCCAUGUAAAAGCCGGUCAUCUAUCCGACCCGUCUUGAAACACGGACCAAGGAGUUUAUCGUGUGCGCAAGUUUUUGGGUGUUAAAAACUUAAAAGCGAAAUGAAAGUAAAUGACUCUUUAGAGUCUGAUGUGCGAUCUUGUAAAAAAGUGUAGCAUGGCCCCAUUCUAACUGUUUACAGUAGGGUGGCGGAAGAGCGUACGCGGUGAGACCCGAAAGAUGGUGAACUAUUCCUGAGCAGGACGAAGCCAGAGGAAACUCUGGUGGAAGUCCGAAGCGGUUCUGACGUGCAAAUCGAUCGUCUGACUUGGGUAUAGGGGCGAAAGACUAAUCGAACCAUCUAGUAGCUGGUUCCUUCCGA